RNAcentral lists this ribosomal RNA (154 nucleotides) under Anathallis laciniata. RNAcentral's name for it is "partial 18S small subunit ribosomal RNA". It matches the Rfam family "Eukaryotic small subunit ribosomal RNA", at positions 1683 to 1831 of the family's 1831-position model. The record is from RNAcentral. Lineage: Eukaryota; Viridiplantae; Streptophyta; Magnoliopsida; Asparagales; Orchidaceae.
UACGAAUUUCCAUUGUCCGGUGAAGUGUUCGGAUCGCUGUGAUGCGGGCGGUUCGCCGCCCGUGACUCUGCGAGAAGUCCAUUGAACCUUAUCAUUUAGAGGAAGGAGAAGUCGUAACAAGGUUUCCGUAGGUGAACCUGCGGAAGGAUCAUUG